GCGGACAACGAAAAAAGAAGGCUGAAGAAAUGUAAAAGACGACAAAAGCUGCGCAGUUUUCAGAGAACGACCCCCAUCCCCCUUGUUUCCAUCUUCUCCAAACGACCCCCCCCCCCCCCUCCCCUGCACUUCAUCUUCUCAAAAAGACCAAAUGAACGAGCCCUUCUACUAAAAACCUUACGGAAGUAGCCGCAACUCUAAAAAGGCCCCACACACCACCGGUCGUCCUCUCGACCAAACGUUGUUGCUUCUUCAACAGGGUCGUCCUCAUCAUCAAAACGAGCCCCUGUUCUUCGACACACAAGAAAUCGGAGAACGACCCCCUCGUUCCAUUUUCUUCUUCGUUCCAAAACCUGUAGCAACCAACAUCCACCAAAACUUCAUCACCGACCAACCAUGACACCCUUACCUCCAUUAAAGCUUCCCCACAGACCUCCUUCUUUUGAGCCAUUUUUCGAUGGUCCCUUCUUGAGCAAAAGCAACGACCCCAUGAGCUACUGCUCUUGAACAAAAAUCACAGAAGCAUCAUCCUCAAUAGACCUCGACCACCAUUAACACAAGCACACACUCACGUUUCUCGGACGGGAAUAUAAGAAAACGGAACACACAAGAUUUCUACCUUCCUUUCAAUUUCGAUUUUGGUGUUCCAAAAAUGAAGAUUCAGUUGAGGUUUGGAAUCCGAUUCUGAGGUUGUCACUGUUCGUUUGAGGUUUCGGCUGGGUUUUCGAUCGGGUUCGAGUUCGGCAUUUGAUGUUGCUGCAAACAAAUUGGAGUUUUCAUAUAUAAAUUGACUCAUAUAUAAAGGUUUGUUGUUCUUAAUUUUAAUCGUUUAUUCAACUUGUUACAGUAGAGUGUUUGGACUGUUUUGUUUUUUCUUUAUUUAUUGUCUCAUCGAUUUUAUGCUAUUGUUACAGUAGUUUCUUAAUAUUGGCUGUUAAUUUAGAAGCUAAUUUUUAUACGUUUCUUUCAAAAUGUGGACUUACUUAAAUUGGGCCUAAUUGUAUAUUUAUUUCAAUGAUUAGCUUAAUUUUACAACAUUAUGUCUUGAAUCUAUGACACUUCAUUUAUAUGCAUGACUCGAAAGGGAAUAGGCAUGUAUCCAUGUGCAUGGUUUGACAAGAUUCAGCUAAUUGAUCUAAUACCGAUGCUCGUAGUUGCUUUGGGUCUGUUUAAUAUACCAUUGCGAUUGUGGACACGUCCGCGUCACAUGAUUGCGAUUUCUAAAAACAAAGCCAGAGUAUGCGUUCGCGCAACUUCGGCCAAAUUUUCUUAACAACAAUAAAGCGUUAUUAAUUAUGGACACGUUCGCGUGACAUGAUUUUUGACGCGCCAAACCAAUGGGUACACGUACGCGUGACCCAUUUCAAGAUAAUUUUCCUAAUUAAAAAGCGGUAUAAGGUAAAUGCACAUAGGUUCUAAAAAUGAGUAAUUAAACAAUUUUAUUAAGCCAAGUAUGAUCAAAGCGAUCGUGCUAGAAUCACGAAACUCGGGAAUGCCUAAUACCUUCUCCCGGGUUAACAGAAUUCCUUACCCGGAUUUCUGUAUUCGCAGACCGUAAAUAGAGUCAAUUUCCUCAGUUCGGGAUUUUUAAAACUGGUGACUUUGGACACCAUAAAUUCUCCCAAGUGGCGACUCUAAAUUUUAAACAAACAAAUCUCGUUUCGACUGUCCUUUAAUUGGAAAACUCCCUUAUAUUUAUACCCUUUUACGGGGUGUAGUAAAAAAGGAGGUGUGACAGAUCUGACAACUCUGCUGGGAAAAAAACCCAGAAUCUCUGGUUCAGGGUUCAAGAAUUCGAGCUUGUUAAUGAUUUUUACUUGACUUCAUUUAUUGUUAAUAUUAUUGUAUUCUGUGAAUCUUUUAUGCUAAAUGCUAUCUGUUUACUGCUUUAUUAUUGUUUGAAUUGUAUAUAAAUGUUUUUUACUCCACCCAUCUGAGUCUUCUGGAAAUGGUGCAUACGUUCGCGUAGCUCACUUUUUCUGUAGAAAUUAUACCAAAUAGAACGAGGUUGGGCAAGCGACAAGCCCGGGUAGACUUCAGUGCUCCUGGUACGUCGCCCCCUCCUCGGCCCCAGUUGUCCGCUCGGGUACCCCAAGUCUAGACCAAAACCCCAGGAUUUAAACCUAGAAAAACACAGCCUCAUGCUGAAUCCCUAGUAGGAACGUUUGUUUGCAUCAUGUGCGUUUGACUUAGGGGACUCAACAUAGGGGCCGUCUAGGACAGGUGUACCCAAAAUAACAGACCAUCUUGAUGCAUCUUAUGUGCUACAUGUUGCAUUCCUUUAAGGGUAAAAGGGUCAUUUGAUGGACCAAUGAUAGUUAGGGACAAAUGAAAAAGAAAAAAGAAGGAAAAAAGCAAAAAAACAAAAAAAGAGGGUGAAGAGUGAAAAUAAAGCGAGUAGGGCCCAAUUAUAUUUUCUGUCACAUUUUUGUUGAGAAAAAAAGAGAGCUUGAAAAUUCAAAAAAAAAAAAAGAUUUUGCACUUUUUCAUCAUUUUUCGAAAAUCAGAAAAUUAAAAAAAAAGGAUAAAGAAAAGAAAAUCCCAAAAAGAGUUUGCAUGUUUCAUCAUUUUUCCAAAAAAAGAGAGAAAAAUAUAUAUUUUUUUCUUUUCUCUCUCUAAAUUAGUUUUUUUAAUUCUCGUCCGUAUCCAAUCUGUCCGAACUACGCAUACCUUAUUCUCGUCUUUCGGGGCGUGAUACGUAGGCAACCCACACAGGGUCCGGUCUUCAUAGUAAAUCUUAGGUUCUUGGCUUCGCGGGCUCUUAGCAAAAUCUUGUACUUUUAGCCACAUCGGUUAAUUUUAGAAAAAAUAAUCGCAAUCAUGUCUUGCAUGUGUCUGGUAGGGAAUGUUAUUGUCUCACUUAGUGUUGGUUUAAGUUUUCUCAUACAGGUGUGGAUUUACUUACCGGAGGUUGAGCACAACAGAUGCCCCAAGGCCACUGCAUUCAGAAGUUACUUAAGGAGAUUUUUUAUUUUUCUUAUGUCGUCUUUUACUUUCUAGAUUUGUAAAGUAAUGUCGAGUUUUUUUAUUACCAUUGUAUUUUCUAUUUUGCAUCUGAAAAAGUGUGUUAUAAAUCAAAAAAAAAAAAGAGAUGUUGCAUUUUAUAUUUCC
RNAcentral lists this long non-coding RNA (3111 nucleotides) under Nicotiana tabacum (common tobacco). Its description in RNAcentral is "long non-coding RNA (NTAB_LNC016462)". Lineage: Eukaryota; Viridiplantae; Streptophyta; Magnoliopsida; Solanales; Solanaceae. The record is from RNAcentral.